This 253-nucleotide ribosomal RNA is filed under the name uncultured bacterium. RNAcentral describes it as "partial 16S ribosomal RNA". It matches the Rfam family "Bacterial small subunit ribosomal RNA", at positions 524 to 776 of the family's 1533-position model. The record is from RNAcentral.
UACGGGGGGGGCAAGCGUUGUUCGGAAUUACUGGGCGUAAAGGGCUCGUAGGUGGCCAACUAAGUCAUACGUGAAAUCCCUCGGCUUAACCGGGGAACUGCGUCUGAUACUGGAUGGCUUGAGGUUGGGAGAGGGAUGCGGAAUUCCAGGUGUAGCGGUGAAAUGCGUAGAUAUCUGGAGGAACACCGGUGGCGAAGGCGGCAUCCUGGACCAAUUCUGACACUGAGGAGCGAAAGCCAGGGGAGCGAACGGG